RNAcentral lists this long non-coding RNA (256 nucleotides) under Nicotiana benthamiana. Its description in RNAcentral is "long non-coding RNA (NBEN_LNC036010)". Lineage: Eukaryota; Viridiplantae; Streptophyta; Magnoliopsida; Solanales; Solanaceae. The record is from RNAcentral.
UUGUGUUUUAGCUUAUGUCCCCUCUAUGGCUGUUAGUUAUGGUAGUUACUGUAUGAUAUUAUUGCAUGAGAUUGUAUUUAUGUUCCGUAUGAUUAGAUAAUUAUUUACGCUAUUUCUGCUGGAGUUACUAAUGCUCUAUUGUUUUUGUUUUUGUCUUUGUUUUUGUUUUACUGCUGUUUUUCCUUUUAUCCUAUGAGCCGGGGGUCGAUUGGAAACAGCCUCUCUGCCCUUUUGGAUAGGGGUAAGGCUUGUUUAC